GCAUGGCUGGAUACUGUGCUCUUUUUAUUAGUAAUUACACAGCCAGACACCGUGCAAAAGUACUGUCUGCCCUUUAAAAUGAUCAUGAUGUAGUCUAAGUUUUUCAUGGCAUAUCAUUAUUAAAGGUGAAUACAAAU
Molecule: small nucleolar RNA, 137 nt
Organism: Loxodonta africana (African savanna elephant)
Lineage: Eukaryota; Metazoa; Chordata; Mammalia; Proboscidea; Elephantidae
Product: small nucleolar RNA SNORA15
Source: Ensembl